UAAGGUGGUUAUAGCGACGGGGCUCACCUCUUACCAUUCCGAACAGAGUAGUUAAGCCCGUUUGCGCCGAUGGUACUACUUUACUGUGGAAGAGUAGGUCGCCGCCUUUUUUAAGAACCCUUACUAGAUAACUAGUAAGGGUUUUUUGUUUUUUACA
Molecule: ribosomal RNA, 157 nt
Filed under: Winogradskyella arenosi
Lineage: Bacteria; Pseudomonadati; Bacteroidota; Flavobacteriia; Flavobacteriales; Flavobacteriaceae
Source: RNAcentral